GAGUCGAUCACAGGCCUGGUUCGUGUUUCGUAGCAAUGAUCUAUACAAGAAAAAGCAAUGUCGACUUUUCAAAUACGGUGGUGGCAUCCAAAGAGGCAUCUGCCUCCUAAUUUUCAAGUUCAAAGACGAGAACUUUCCAUGUGUCCUGCCCUCUAGAAUGAAUGGACUUGCUUUAACAACUUGUACAAGAAAAACGAGUUGAUAUUUUUCCAUGCCAGCCCCAUCUCACAGCAUCAAAGAUUUCUCCACCACAUGAAUAAUCUAUCAUGUCAAAUACCUUUUCCUCCCUCCCCCCCUCUGUACCAUGCUAUAAAUGCAGGUUGUUGACGAAGUUCUAGAUAGUUUUGUUCAUCUAGUCUUUGUCAUCCUUCUGGGCUAGCUAGCUUCUUUCUCUUCGACUACUCUCAUACGAGGUGUUCAAGCUCAAGGGACUGCUUCGCUUUUGCGUGAUGGCAUCUCAAAAGGCUAAAGGGCUACAUGUCACAAGCAACCAUGUUGCUAAGGAGCUCUUCAACACCAGUUCUUGGAUCCCUGCUCUCAUCUUUCUCCGACAGCCCUAACAACAGCAGCAACAAUAUUCACCACCAUGAUAUUAACACCACAUUCAAGCACAGCCCAAUUCACCACCAAAGCAUAAACAAACUUCCACAACGAUGAGCGAUACUACAAUCCGAACCAAACCAGGAAAGUCUCCGGGAGAUCAAAGUGCUUGAUGUUAGAAACUAUACCAUCAUUUUCUUUUAGUGCUUCGGGAGGUCGCUAUGAAGAUGAGGAUGAGGAAGAUGAAGAUCAGAGUGACGUCCAAGAUGAGGAGAAGAGAGCAGAAUUAGAAGAGAAUGUGGCUGAAAAUCCUCAAAUUUCGAUUUUUUUUUUUUGAAAACUAGCAUAGUUUCAAAAAAGUUAAGAGGAAAUGACACUUUUAAACGUUUUAUGAAAAUGACGUAGUUUUUAUAUAA
Populus nigra (black poplar) is the source of this 956-nucleotide long non-coding RNA. RefSeq lists it as uncharacterized. The record is from RefSeq and is a predicted model, not a curated record. The transcript has 2 exons. Lineage: Eukaryota; Viridiplantae; Streptophyta; Magnoliopsida; Malpighiales; Salicaceae.